CAUGUGAGUGUGGGGUGGGAAGGGCUCCGAGGGUAUGAGGCUGAAGGGAGACUGGAGGGUUGGGCGGCAAGCGGUGAUAGGGGUGGGCAGGUGUUUUCAGGCAAACCACCCGCGCGGGCAGUGACGACAUUCUAUAACGACAUCACCUCUGAAUAUCACGGCCUCGACAAGAUCGAGCUGUGCUGAGGACCUACAUAGGAAGAACUGAGCCUCGCGGUUUGGCUGCCUGUUGGCAAAGACUGGCUUACAUCUUAGGUCGUUGCAUUCAUUGCGCACGGCAUUGGGCAGUGACGAUAUUCUAUAACGACAUCACCUCUGAGCACCACAGCCUCGACAAGAUCGAGCUGUGCUGAGGACCUACAUAGGAAGAACUGAGCCCUGAAUCCACGAGUCCCUGCACGACAUAUCAUCCCCACGCCCACGACCCACUUGGUGCACCAGCUCCUGACGCCCGCCUCCUUCCCGCGCCCCCGCACCUCUAACCCUCCUCGCGCCCACACAGGC
This 504-nucleotide long non-coding RNA is filed under the name Chlamydomonas reinhardtii. RNAcentral describes it as "long non-coding RNA (CREI_LNC000429)". Lineage: Eukaryota; Viridiplantae; Chlorophyta; Chlorophyceae; Chlamydomonadales; Chlamydomonadaceae. The record is from RNAcentral.